CAACUAAAGAUGGCGACCGGCGCACGGGUGAGUAACACGUAUCCAACCUGCCGAUAACUCGGGGAUAGCCUUUCGAAAGAAAGAUUAAUAUCCGAUAGUAUAUUAAAACCGCAUGGUUUUACUAUUAAAGAAUUUCGGUUAUCGAUGGGGAUGCGUUCCAUUAGUUUGUUGGCGGGGUAACGGCCCACCAAGACUACGAUGGAUAGGGGUUCUGAGAGGAAGGUCCCCCACAUUGGAACUGAGACACGGUCCAA
This 254-nucleotide ribosomal RNA is filed under the name uncultured bacterium. RNAcentral describes it as "partial 16S ribosomal RNA". It matches the Rfam family "Bacterial small subunit ribosomal RNA", at positions 72 to 334 of the family's 1533-position model. The record is from RNAcentral.